This is a long non-coding RNA of Cygnus olor (mute swan), 6283 nucleotides long. RefSeq lists it as uncharacterized. Lineage: Eukaryota; Metazoa; Chordata; Aves; Anseriformes; Anatidae. The transcript has 6 exons. The record is from RefSeq and is a predicted model, not a curated record.
GGUCCAGGGCAAGGUGAUCUAGUGGGUGGUGUCCCAGACCAUGGUAGAGGGUUUGGAACUAGAUAAUCUUUAAGGUCCCUUCCAAACCAAGCCUUUCUAUGAUUUUAUGAUUCUGUGCUCUAUGUACAAGGUUCUUUAUGUAUGGGUGAUUUCUAUUUUGAUAACAACAUCUAGUUCUGUGUCCUAUUUUUGCCCCCUCAUUUUUGGCCAGUGUGUUUGUAUUUAAUAUGUUUUUUUCUCUGCACCAAAGAGACCGAUUUAUGUCAUCUUACUUGUUCCCCCACCAAUCAUGUCUAAGACCUCCAUUUUAUCUAGUUCUCAAAAGCUUUUAUUGUUUUCAACAGUAUAUUUCAUUUUAUUUAUUUAUUUAUUUAUUUUUCAAUCCAGGUGCUUCCAAUUAAAAGGUGCUUUCAGAUAACUUUCAGUUAUCAGCUUUUACAGCGUUCACAUUUUCCCUGCUGAAGACUUAAUUAUUUGGUCCUUAAAUGAAACCUCCUUUCAAUUGGUUGUUUAAUCCUUGGCUCAAGUAUUUUGUCCAUAGAAUUACAUUUUCAAUAUGUUUUUUUCUCACUUGCUCACCUUCAGUUCCUUAACAUUUAGCUGGCAUUCUGUAUCUGGCACUAUAUAUACAAUUCCUUUCCCUACAUGCUAUUUAUGCAUAGUUUCCAAGGCAUACAGUUCUGCAUCCAUUCUUUUUCCUCCUGUGUUGCAAGCUCUUUUUCCCAUCUCCAAUUCCUUGCUUUUAAUUGAUAGGAUAAAAGUAAUUCCUUGGGUGUGUCUCUUUGUUCACAUGUGGAAUGGAUGAUACAGUCAGAGGCAAUGACACACCAACUACGUUUGAGGGAAAUGAUAAAUACAUUGCUCUUAAUCGUUUUAAAAAUGGGGAGCUUUCUAUGCAAGUGGAACAUUAAAAAAAAAAAAAGCAACUAUGUGACAGACAAAGCCCAGCUUUUCUGAUCUAAUUUUCUUCUUCCCAGUUCCAUCCAUGAAGUGUAAACGGUAAAUAAAUUAUUCAACAGUAUUCUAUAGUAGAGUCCAUAUUUUACACCAAAAGCUUUUUUGAAUGCUUACAGCAUUUCACAAAUCACAUAUUAAUCCCAUUAUUUAUAGGCUAAGCAAUUCCACAGACCUGUGACAAUCCUGAUAAACUCUAACUCCCCAUUCCUUCUGUUUAACCUUGAAUGUUGUAAACAUUUGAUGAUGUAUUCAGUGAUGUGACAGAAUUGGACUGAGUCUUAGAGAGUGAUCAUAAAGCCCUUCCUGUAAUAACUUUGGAUCUUUCUCCUUUACUGGAAUAGGGAACCUGAAAGGAGCUCAGAAAUACUCAGUUCAUAUAUAUUAAACUGUAAGGAUUCCCUCUGUUGAUAACCUCACUGAUUAAUUUGAAAUAAAGCUUUAGGCACAAAAUGUCAAUGUUAUUUAUUUAUUUUUUCCAAGUGAAGGGGAUGUUUUAUGCACAAGCUCAAAAGCCAGUUCAGAAAAAGUGAAGUGCUUUUAACAUUAUUAUGUAUUCUUCAUGUUAGUUCUUCUUAUCUGUUCCAGCAAGCUAUGCAUUAUAGGCUGUUAUUUAUAACCAAAUCUUGCUGCAUCCUGCUUUUAAAUAUGCUGACUGAGGGGUGGCCUUUAUGCACUGUUGUCAGAGUUCUAAUACACCAGGUUUUUAUACCUCACCCUACCUUAAAACAUCAAAGCAUGACAGCUUGAUGUGACAUUUCUAUAACUUCCCAUGCUUGCAAUACCCAUUUCUUACUCAGGAGAUAAAACGUAGAAAAAAAGACAUAGGAUAUUGUUUUGUUCUUUUGUAGCUAUUCACCUCAUCCGUAAAUUUUGAAACUACUGGCCACUGGGCUCAAAUAUAGAGGAGCUUAUAGACACUGCAGCUGGUAAAGGAGAGACUUUCUUAAGAACCCUCACAAAAAUGCAAGUCAAUCCUAGACUUUAUCAUUGCAAGAAGCACUGUUGGCUCAGAGGUAUUAGCUGACAAAUCAAACAAAAUGUGCGCUGCCUAUUGUCCUGUCAAAAAGAUUGAUAUUUUGGAGACCUGCAAGUACUUUAGAAGUGGAAAGGGAAGAUACUUCUGUUUCACUAGCUGAAUCUUCAAUACUUUACAACUUCAGAUUUCUCAACCUUGCUAUGUAAAAUGUCAGUGUGAAAACAAGAGCUCUUCCGAUAUUCAACAUUGCAAGAUGAAUCUCCAGUCAUUGCAAAGGAGUUUACUUCCAAUCAAUUAAGUUCUUAAGAGACAGUGCAACAAAUCAAUUUUGUUCCUCAAGGAACAAUCAUCACAGGCACAAUUCAGGGACAUCCUCACUCUUGGUAAUGUCAUAUUUUAAUUUGCUAGAGAAUACUUUGGAACUGGCCAACACAUGGCUUCUCAUCCAAAACAGGAACUGGGAGGACUGAACACUUUUUUUCUACUAACUUUUUUUUACACUAACACUGACAGCAACAAAAGAAUGCAUUGAGAUCCCCUGCAUUUAGUCAGAAUUCUCCAAAUAAUAAAAAAUCUUGCAUGUUACUAAAUGUUACUAAAUGUUACUGCAAUUAUUGGGACUUCCUAUUAAUUAAUUAAUUAAUAAUGGGUAUACAAAUAACAUGAGUCUUCAAGAACCAUCCUUCCAGACUUUGAAAAAAAAAAGUUGUUUUUAACAGCUACCAUUGUUAACAAUUAAAUCAACUUGUAAAAUGGAUUUUUUUUUAACACUCAUGUUAUCACAGAAUCACAGAAUGGUUGAGGUCGGAAGGGACCUCUGAAGAUUCUCUAGUCCACGCCCCCUGCCAAGCAGGGUCACCUAGUUUACCAUGUCGCACAGGAUUGCAUCCAGGGGGGGCUGAAUGGCCUGUAACAUACGAUGAAAGAAAGUAAGAGAGAAAGUAAGACAGAGAGUAAGUGAGAAAGGUUGAAGGAAAGGAAAGGUCUGGAUCACCAUCCCAGGUUCCAGAGACAUCUCUGGUCCAGUUCUUGUCAUGUCUGCCAUGGUGGUGGGUACACACGUGGCCCCUAUGUGUUUUGCUAUUUAUGAAUCCGUCCCUACCCAAGCUCUCAUUUUGUAUGCUAAUUAUUCCAAGCCCAUGUCCCAAGACCUUCUUAAAAAGGAGUUGGUGGGGGGUUGCUAAUGCCUUUCCUCCCUCAACUACCAGAAACACUGGUGUCAAUAUUUCUCAGGUUGUUACCCAAGAUAAGGAAAUAGGCCCCCAAAAAUGCUAUCCCGCCUCUGCAGGAUCCUCUUUUCUGACCGCAGCUUAUCUCGUUAGUGUGAUAACACUUUUUCUCCGCUGAAUCAUUUUUUUUUUCUUCAGAUUCUUACAAUCCCUUCAGACAACUGCUAUGUUGUGGACUCAUCCAUGACCACAGACACUUUGAGGUGUUCCAGCAUGGCCUAAUCUGCAGACACAACAUUGCAAGAUAUACUUCCUCUAGCACACUUAUCCAUGGCCACAGAUGCUUCAAAGUGUAGUGUACAUGCUCUGGAGUGGAUUUAUCUGCGUCCACAGAUGCAGGUUGUAAAUGCUCCCAUGUAGAUGUAUCCAAAGAUCACAGUCUCUCUGACUCAAGUUCACUCCAGAGUUCCAGCCUGUGCUGUACAGCAGCACAGAAACACCAAUGACUUGGCUGUCUGCCAGCUCAGGUGCAUGGCAAUAGCUGUUACCAAGGCAUUCCUAGGCACAGCAAAAUAAGAUUAUAAGGAGUACAGCAAACAGCAGAAGCAAAAUCAGCCCCUAAAAAGCACUAGACUCUUAUAGAUAUACAUUAAGGCAAGCAAGCCCUUUGGCAACCAUCAGAGCAUGUAAGUUAACAUCAAAACAUAAUAAAAUCAAAACACCAUAACCUCUAUAAAUUUGGUCUAGCACACCCCACACUCCAAAUCUACCAUCAACUUGAAUCCUUCAAACCUCACAUUGGGUGCCAAAAAAAGGGUGGUUGGGGUUUAAAUCCAGGAAGCAUUUAAGCAUCACAGUCACUCAUUCACUCCUGCCAUGGUGGGAUGAGGACAUUUGUGGGUUGAGAUAAAGACAAACCAACUCAGCAAAAGCUGGGUGUACAAGCAAAGCACAACAAUGAAUUAAUUCACUGCUUCUGUAUGGGGUCUUGCUGGGAUCGAGUUAACUUUUCCCACAGCAGCCCAUAAAGUACUGUGCUCUGCAUGAGUAGCUAGAGCAGUGUUGAUAUCACUCUAAUGUUUUGUCUAUUGCUGAGAAGUUCUGGCACAGCAUCAAGACUGUGUCUCUCCAACACUCAAAAAAAAAAAAAAAAAGCCUGUAGACUGGGGGAGGGGAAAAGGUGGUGAGUAGAUGCAACAAGGACAGCUGACCUAAAAUGACCUUCCAUACCAUAUGACAUCAUGCUCAGCAAUAAAAGCUGAGGAAGGAGGGGCUCUGUUUAUGAAAAUGUCUGUUUUCCUGAGCAACCACUACACAUAUUGGUGCUAUGCUUCCCAGGAUAUAGCCAAACAUUACUAGCUGAUGGGAAGUAGAGAAUAAUUGUUUUGUUUUCUGCUGUUGCUUCUGCAUGUGACUGGGAGAAGUGCCCAAAGACUGGAGGAAAGCAAAUGCCACUCUUAUCUUCAAGAAGAGUAAGAAGGAGGGCCCAGGGUAUUACAGGCCAGUCAACUUCAUCUUGAUCCCUGGGAAGGAACAGAUAAUCGUGGUAACCAUUUCCAGGCACGUGAAGGACAAGAAAAUCAUCAGGGGUAGUCAUCAUGGAUUUGCCAGGGAGAAGUACUGCUUGACCAACUUGAUACAAUGAAAAGACUGGCCUGGCAGUAGAGGAGUAGUGCAGUAGGAGAGCAGUGGAUAUUGUCUUUCUGUACUUCAGUAAGGCCUUUAAAAUGUUCUUCCAUGAGACUGUUGUAGAUAAGCUGCUGAUGUAUACCCAGCUGUUGAUGGCUGGGUAGGCAGACAGUGAUAUCAGUUGAAAACUGGCAGAAUGGCUGAGCCCAGAUUGGUAUGAUCAGUGAUGCAAGUCGAGUUGGAGGUCAGUGACUAGCAGUGUACCCCAGGGUACAAUACUGGCUUCAGUCCUGUUUAAUAUUUUCAUUAAUGACUUGGAUGAUUGGGUAGUGUAUAGCCCAGCAAGUCUGCAGAUGACACAAAACUGGAGGAAGCAGCUGAUAUAUCAGAGGGUCAUGCUACCAUCCAGAGGGAUCUUGGUGGGAUGAGGGGAACCUUGUGUAGUUCAGCAAGGGGAACUGUGAAGUCCUGCACCUAGCGAGUAACAACCCCAUGCUCCAAUGUGGUCUACCCAACUGAAAAGAACCUUGGCAGAAAAAGACCUGGGGGCCAUGGUGGGCACCAAGCUGAACAUAAGCCAGAUACUAACCCUUGCAGUAAAGAAGUCUAAUGGUAUCCUGGACUGCAUUAUGCAAAAUAUUGCCAGUAGGUUGAGGAAGGUGGUUCGUCCCCUCGACUCAGUCCCAGUGAGGCCACACCUGGAGUACUGUGUCCAGUUGUGGGUUUCCCAGUACAAGAGAGACAUGGACAUUCUGGAGAGACUCCAACAAAGAGUCACAAAGGUAAUGAAGAAACUGGAGCAUCUCUCCUGUGAGGAAAGGCUGAGAGAACUGGGACUGUUCAGCCUCGAGAAGAGAAGGUUCAGGAACAACCUUAUCAAUGUACAUACAUACCUGAAGUAUGGGUGCAAAGAAGGAGGCUAUUUUCAGUGGUGCCUCAUAAUAGGACAAUAGGCAAUGGGCACAAAGUGAAACACAGGAGGUUCCCUCUGAGCAUCAUGAAACUAUUCUUUAUUGUGCGGAUGACGGAGCACUGGCACAGGUUGCCCAUAGAGGUUGUGGAGAUAUUCCUCUUUGGAGGUAUUCAAAAGCUCUCUGGACAUGGUCCUGGACAAUUGACGCUUGGUGACUCUACUUGAGCAGGGGUGUUGGACCAGAGACUCUCCAGAGGUUCCUUCCAAGCUCAGCCAUUUACUGAUGUUGUGAUUGAAGUUGCAAAAGCAAUAAAGAAUUAAAACAAACUGAGAAUUGUAAUGAAAGACGACAGGACAACACCUGUUUUCUUAGGUAUCUCCACCAUUCUAGAUUUUUUAUUAUAUGCCAAAAUGAUAUGUAGUAGCUCUCUCUGGUGUCAGUUGUAAUUUCUCUGCCAAUUGCACAGGUGUUACUCUAGCAAUUGCUGCUUAUAUGUAUUAUAGUUUUCCUACUUGUUCAUUUUUUCUUAUUUUAAAUGUUUUUCUUCAGAAAUGGAAGGGACAAAUCAAAUGUGUGUUGAAACUGGGUCCAUACCGAAGCUUAACCUCAACCUUGCAAAGCCUAGCACAUAGAAACCA